GAUGAACGCUGGCGGCGUGCCUAAUACAUGCAAGUCGAGCGAACAGACGAGGAGCUUGCUCCUCUGACGUUAGCGGCGGACGGGUGAGUAACACGUGGAUAACCUACCUAUAAGACUGGGAUAACUUCGGGAAACCGGAGCUAAUACCGGAUAAUAUAUUGAACCGCAUGGUUCAAUAGUGAAAGACGGUUUUGCUGUCACUUAUAGAUGGAUCCGCGCCGCAUUAGCUAGUUGGUAAGGUAACGGCUUACCAAGGCAACGAUGCGUAGCCGACCUGAGAGGGUGAUCGGCCACACUGGAACUGAGACACGGUCCAGACUACUACGGGAGGCAGCAGUAGGGAAUCUUCCGCAAUGGGCGAAAGCUUGACGGAGCAACGCCGCGUGAGUGAUGAAGGUCUUCGGAUCGUAAAACUCUGUUAUUAGGGAAGAACAAAUGUGUAAGUAACUAUGCACGUCUUGACGGUACCUAAUCAGAAAGCCACGGCUAACUACGUG
Molecule: ribosomal RNA, 497 nt
Filed under: uncultured bacterium
Lineage: Bacteria
Description: partial 16S ribosomal RNA
Rfam family: Bacterial small subunit ribosomal RNA
Source: RNAcentral